CACAUGCAAGUCGAACGGCAGCACGGAGAGCUUGCUCUCUGGUGGCGAGUGGCGAACGGGUGAGUAAUAUAUCGGAACGUGUCCAAUAAUGGGGGAUAACGAGUCGAAAGAUUCGCUAAUACCGCAUACGCCCUACGGGGGAAAGCAGGGGAUCGUAAGACCUUGCGUUAAUGGAGCGGCCGAUAUCUGAUUAGCUUGUUGGUGAGGUAAAGGCUCACCAAGGCGACGAUCAGUAGCUGGUUUGAGAGAACGACCAGCCACACUGGAACUGAGACACGGUCCAGACUCCUACAGGAGGCAGCAGUGGGGAAUUUUGGACAAUGGGGGCAACCCUGAUCCAGCCAUUCCGCGUGAGUGAAGAAGGCCUUCGGGUUGUAAAGCUCUUUNCNCAAGGGAAGAAAACUUAUGAUCGAAUAAAUCAUGAGNUGACGGUACCUUNAUAGAAGCACCGG
This 452-nucleotide ribosomal RNA is filed under the name uncultured beta proteobacterium. RNAcentral's name for it is "bacterial SSU rRNA". It matches the Rfam family "Bacterial small subunit ribosomal RNA", at positions 52 to 496 of the family's 1533-position model. Lineage: Bacteria; Pseudomonadati; Pseudomonadota; Betaproteobacteria. The record is from RNAcentral.